AGAGUUUGAUCCUGGCUCAGAAUGAACGCUGGCGGCAUGGUUAAAGCAUGCAAGUUGCACGAGAACCACUUCGGUGGGGACAGUGGCGGACGGGCGAGUAAUGCAUUCCUACGUGCCUCGAGGUGGGGGAUAGCCAAGGGAAACCUUGAGUAAUACCCCAUGUCCUCUCUGGAGAAAAGCUCAGGCGCCUUGAGAUCGGGGAAUGUCCUAUCAGGUAGUUGGCGGGGUAACGGCCCACCAAGCCGAAGACGGGUAGCCGGUGUGAGAGCACGACCGGCCGCAUCGGGACUGAGACACUGCCCGGACUCCUACGGGAGGCUGCAGCAACGAAUCUUCCGCAAUGCACGAAAGUGUGACGGAGCAAUGCCGCGUGCGGGAUGAAGCGGCUACGCCGUGUAAACCGCUGUCAGGACCAAGGAAUACUGACCUGGUCCAAAGGAAGGGCCGGCUAAUCUCGUGCCAGCAGCCGCGGUAAUACGAGAGGCCCGAGCGUUAUUCGGAAUCACUGGGCUUAAAGGGUGCGUAGGCGGCCAUGUAGGCGUCCUGUGAAAUCCCACGGCUCAACCGUGGAAUUGCGGGGCGAACCACAUGGCUUGAACCUGGUAGGGGCUGUCGGAACGAUCGGUGGAGCGGUGAAAUGCGUAGAUAUCGAUCGGAACGCCGAAGGUGAAGACGGGCAGCUGGGCCAGAGUUGACGCUGAGGCACGAAAGCGUGGGGAUCAAACAGGAUUAGAUACCCUGGUAGUCCACGCCGUAAACGAUGUGCACUAGACCGGGGCGGUUUUGACGCCGUCCUGGUCGUAGGAAAACCAUUAAGUGCACCGCCUGGGGAGUACGGUCGCAAGAUUAAAACUCAAAGGAAUUGACGGGGGCUCACACAAGCGGUGGAGCAUGUUGCUUGAUUCGAAGCAACGCGAAGAACCUUAUCCUGGGCUUGACAUACACGGAUUAGUUCAUGGAAACAUGAAUGACGCUCUUCGGAGUGGAACGUGAACAGGUGCUGCAUGGCUGUCGUCAGCUCGUGCUGUGAAGUGUCGGGUUAAGUCCCUCAACGAGCGCAACCCCUAUCGUUAGUUGCCAGCGCGUAAUGGCGGGGACUCUAGCGAGACUGCCGGUGUCAAACCGGAGGAAGGUGGGGAUGACGUCAAGUCCUCAUGGCCUUUAUGCCCAGGGCUGCAAUCGUGCUACAAUGGUAUGGACAGAGCGAAGCGAGGCCGCGAGGCGGAGCAAAUCGCAAAAACCAUGCCCCAGUUCAGAUUACAGUCUGCAACUCGACUGUAUGAAGUUGGAAUCGCUAGUAAUCGGGGAUCAGCUACGCCCCGGUGAAUAUGUUCCUGAGCCUUGUACACACCGCCCGUCAAGUCAUGGAAGCCGGGAGUGCCCGAAGUCGCUAUAUCUCAAUAGUGCCCACGGCAAGUUCGGUGACUGGGACUAAGUCGUAACAAGGUA
RNAcentral lists this ribosomal RNA (1449 nucleotides) under metagenome. Its description in RNAcentral is "bacterial SSU rRNA". It matches the Rfam family "Bacterial small subunit ribosomal RNA". The record is from RNAcentral.